RNA transcript from Vespa velutina, 6233 nucleotides. It is a transcript of the gene named myelin expression factor 2, with no coding region annotated. Lineage: Eukaryota; Metazoa; Arthropoda; Insecta; Hymenoptera; Vespidae. The record is from RefSeq and is a predicted model, not a curated record. The transcript is spliced from 10 exons.
UUCCGGGAUUUGAUAACUUCCGUUGACAGCCAUUUUAUAAGACGCUUCUCGUGCUCGCGUAUGUUUGCUUCUAUUUUCAGUUUGACUAUUUUGUAACCUCAGAAAUUUAGAUAGAUUAUCUAGGACUUCCUUUGUUAAUCGUUAUUUCAACUAAAUAACAAGGAUGAUCAAAGUGGAGGAAACACAAAUACCAAAUGACGAUGAAAGAGAUAGGAGCAGAGAACGUGAUCGGAAUCGGCGAUCGGAUAGACAAAAUCGUAUCAAUUCGACUAGUCGUGAUCGGAGUAGAGAGAGAAAUGAUCGUGGUGGCAGAAAAGCUUCAGAUAGAAGAAUUUAUGUAUCAAAUAUACCGUAUGACUUUCGAUGGCAGGAUUUGAAAGAUUUAUUUAGAACUGAAGUAGGGAAAGUAGCACAUGUCGAAUUAUUUACGGAUGAAAAUGAUAAGCCCCGUGGUUGCGGUAUUGUUGAAUUUGAAGAUGCGGAAUCGGUAAAGAUUGCUGUUGAAAAAAUGCAUCGUUAUGACACAAAAGGAAGAAAAUUAGUUGUGAAAGAGGAUUUUGAUGUUGAGCGUGAUAAGUAUGGUCGUCUAGCAACAGCUCGUAAUAAUGAUAGACCAAGAGAUGAUAGGUUUAGAGAUCCUCCUCGUCAGCAAGGAGGUGGUAGACAAAACAUGCCAGCACCUAGUGGCAGUGGUGGUGGUGGUGGUGGUGGUGUUGGUGGCGGUGGUGGUGGAGGUGGUGGAGGCGGUGGUGAUAAUAAGUUUGGUAAUACUUAUGGUCUCAGUACACAAUUCUUGGAAUCUUUAGGCAUUAAUGGACCUUUGGUUACAAGAGUCUUUGUAGCAAAUUUGGACUAUAAAGUGGAUGAAAAAAAAUUAUUGGAAGUAUUUAAGUUGGCUGGUAAAGUUUUACAUGUUGAAUUGGGCAAAGAUAAAGAUGGAAAGUCUCGUGGCUUUGGAGUCGUAGAAUAUGAUCAUCCAGUGGAAUCCGUACAAGCUAUUUCAAUGUUACACAAUCAACAACUUUAUGACAGACGAAUGACAGUAAGGCUUGAUAGAGCAAAUGAACCAGAUAUGCCACCAAAAUUACCAGAAGGUUUGAAGGGCAUUGGAAUGGGAUUAGGAGCAGGAGGAAACAGAUUAAUGGAUGUAGCACGAAAUAUUCCUAGUGUACAAGCCAACAAUCCACCGGUUGUAAAUCCUAUCUCUGCUCCUGUUUUGGCUGCCGGUGCUUUUGGUGCUGGAUUAAAUAAUGUUGUACCUGCACAAUUAGCAUCUGCAUUGACAAAUUCAAAUGCAGCAGCACUUCAAGCGAGUCUUGCUGGUGGUUUAGGAGCAAACCUAACUACAAGCUCUUUAUUGAAUUCAUCUUUAACAAAUGAACUGGCUUCGAAUUUGAAUAGCUUUGGUGGUGGAGUUGGCGGUUUGUCAGGACUACAAGCAUCUUUGGCUGGUGGUCAAGGAAAUAAUUCUUUUGCACCAAGAGGUUUAUCUAAAUUAGAUAACGAUAUAGGAUUUGGUGGCAACAAUGCUUUUGGAAGUUCAUCCUUUGGUGGUGGCAGAGAUUUUGAUGGAGGCUUCAACAGAGGGGAUGGCGAUCGUGUAUCUGGUGGAGGUGGUGCAUUCUCCGGCAAUCAAGGACAAGGUGGAGGUGGUAACAGACAAAAUGCUAAUGGUUCUCGGCUGAUGUCAGAUACCAUUCUUAUAGGAAAUUUACCUCCUAAUACUACGUGGCAAAUGUUACGUGAUAAAUUUCAAGAUGUUGGUGAGGUCAAGUUUGCAGAAAUGAGAGGUACAGAUAUGGGAAUGGUACGAUUCGUCUCUGAGUGGGAUGCGGAGCGAGCAGUGUCGAUGAUGAAUCGGUCACGUAUCGAUGGCAGGACAAUUGACGUACGCUUGUACUAACGAAAGAACUACUACAUCGAUCAAAGGAAACAUCAUCCAGGUGGCAUGUUUUUAUCGAAUGAGGGAUCGAGACAACGUUCCGCAUAAAAGGUAAAUAUGUGAGAAUGUGACUCUAUUAACUAAAACAACUCGUUCAAACGGAGAAUGCAUAAAAAGUAUAUAAAAAGAACUGUAUUCGUGGGAAAAAAAAAAAAAAAAAAAAAAAAAAAAAAAAGAGAAAAAAACCAGUCAAAUAAAUAAGUGUAAAUGUUUCGUUAGUGGAUUUCUCACGAUCGCAUACAUAUUAAAUUGCAUUAGGUGCAUCUAUUGUUCGUCGAUUUAAAAGAAGCACCCCUUCUAAACAACAUAUCUCGCAUCUCGUCGCAUUUAUCUAUGUAUGUAUAUAUAUAUAUAUAUAUAUAUAUAUAUAUAUAUAUAUAUAUAUAUGUAUGUAUGUAUGUAUAUAUGUAUGUAUAAUAUGUUUAUAAUUUUUUUAAUCUAUCGUGUAAGUUUUAUCACAUUUGAAAUAAAGGUAUUAUCAAUGGCGCAAAAGCUUAAGGCUCGAUGUAAAUAACGAUGUGUAAAUUAUGGACUUGGAUUAUACGCGCGAUAUCGUUCUUUUCUUUUCUUUUUUUUCCUUUUUUUAUUUCUUUUUCUUUUUUUUUUCUUCAUUUCCUCCAACGAAGAUAUCACUGAAAGAUAUAUUUUGUCAUUUCGAAAUAUAAAUAUUAGGUGUGUUGUUAAGAAAUAAGAGCGACAAAAGAGUAACGAACGCAUCAUCUAACAUAGUCUCUUUAUCUCAUUACUUUGCGAAAUAGAUUUUUUUUUUUUUACAAAUCAUUCGAAAAAUUUUUGUGCGUGAUCAACGACGUGACUCUAUUUUUUUUUUUCUUUUUUCUUUUUAAUCAAUAUUAUUUCCCGCCGAUGUGUCCAACAUGGAAAAAUGCGUGUAUAUUAGAAAUUUUCUGAUCCUGCAUAUAUUUAUUUUUCGUUUUAUACAUUACUGAUGGUAAAAAUUCAUUUUUCUUUUUUCUAAGAGUACACAAGUUUAAUUUAAUAUUAUUACGUUUAUCACGUUAUCGCUAAAAUAUUUAUAUAUCAUCAAUGCGGUGUUUUCCUAAAAGUUAUGGCUUUUUUUUUCUUAUAUAUUUUUUUUUCCUCUUUUUUUUUUAUUUUUUUUUUUUAUUUUUUAUUUUUUUUUUACCGCGGGGUUUUAUGUAUAAGGGGAGGGGGGAGUAGGGUGAAAAGGCCUUUUGCCAAGUUUAUCACGUAGCGAAAAUUGAAUAUCUCUUUUAAUCAAUGGUCACAAUAUUUCUUAUUUAAUGACUUUCGUGUUAUUCCAUAUUUAAUAUAGUUCUGUUAAUAUAGUCAAUAAUAUUAAUACCAAAGAGAGAUCCUUCAACUUGGAAAAAGACGUUUACAAAUUUGUUUUUAAGCUCGUAUCAUUUUUAUGAAGCACGACGAUCGAUUCUUGGCAAAAAUAUUCAUGGAUGGCAACACUAAAGUCGACAAGCGUAAUACUUUAAUCGAACACAUUAUCUUCGAAUCUUUAUUAAUUAUUAUCUCCGCUGAUCUUCAGCCAUUAUUUCGAAGAAUUUACGAACGCUCUUUAGAUACAAAAAAAAAAAAAAAAAAAAGAAGAAUAAAAUAGAAUAGAAUAGAAUAGUAUAAAAUAGAAAAAGAAAAGAAAUAAAUCAGAAUUACUACACAAACAUCACGAGUUCGUAUUUUAUCAUCACGCUGCACACGUCAUACACUUGACUAUAUGCCUGCAUACAUCUGCGGUCAUAUCGUGCUUUCUGUUUCUUUUUUUCUUUUUUUUUUUUUUUUUUUUUUUUUUUUUUUUUUUUUUUUUACAGUUUUCGCUUUUUAUUUUUUACUGUCGUCAUGCAAUGCUUCAUAAAUUUUUACCACUUGAAAAAUAUUUCACGAGAGUUGUUAAAAUACAAUCAUUUUCUUUUAUCAUCAAUCAUGCAUUAGACAUUUCCAUUUCGCUUUUAAUCGACGUUCGUUUAAUUCGGAUUAUUAAGAGUAUCGCAAAAUAGAAAGAAAAAAGGAAAAGAAAAGAAAAGAAAAAAAGAAUCAGGAAGAAAGAAAGAAAGAAAGAUAAAAACAAAACGUCAUUAGACAAAAAUGAUAAAGCGAAGAGUAGAACUUCGCGAUAUUUCAUUAAUAACAAAUAGUUCGUUCUUUCGUAUUUGUUUUUGCUAAUGCAUUUUAACAAACUCUUGCAAGUGUCCGGGAACGACUUCGUCAAUUUUUUCGUCGUUACACCACCUUCUAAUUACCUUAGCUGCUAAGCACGACAACGUGAUGUAUUUUAACGGACUGAUUGAGUAAUAGUUUUGUUUGUUGCGUAAUAAACUUUUGAAGGUUUUCUUAUCUCUAUUAACGGUAUCGAUAUGAGCAUUUGCAUCGAGAAGCGCUACAGCAAGGUCUGGUCGCCAAGGUAACGACAUGGCCACCCAAUGUAAAGCAGUGUUUCCAUUCCUAUCUCUCGAGUUAACAUCAGCCCCAACUUUCAAUAAAGCUGUAGUCAAGUGAGGCGAAUGAAAUUUGCAGACCGGAUACCUUCCUACCAAAGCUACGUCGUCGCUAUGUAUUAAUUGUAAGGCGUCACGAUCCUAAAAUACAAAAAAAAAAAAAAAAAAAAAAAAAAAAAAAAGUAUUACCUCUGAUAUGCUUAGAGACAAUAGGACGAUGAUAAUUACCUCUUUGCCCUUUGCGUUGAUUCGAACCAAGUCGUAAAUAGCUUUAUGUAUGGCCACAUACUCGUAUGUACCUUCUGUGGGCAUGUCGCGCGUCAUCAAACAAGCUAGAUGCAAGGUUAUUAAUAAAAUUCUGUUUAAAGAUGUGACGUCGCGAUCUCUAAGUGGAAUUUUAUCUAACAAUUGUUUCCCCAAUCUAACUUCUUCUAUCUGAAACAGGAUUUAAUCGAUGGGCAUAAAAAUUAUUGAUAAAAGGAACAAUAGAAAUGGAAGAGAUAAAGGAAAAGAUGAUCGGGAAAGGAAGAGAAAGAAAGAAAGAGAGAGAGAGAGAGAGAGAGAGAGAGAGAGAGAGAGAGAGAGCAAGAGAGACUGGUAAAUAUUAAAAAAAAAAUUUUUUCAAAAAAUAAACAAAUAAAGAUAAAUAUAUCCUUUGAUUUACUUACAGCCUUUAAAAAAAUUCGAAGUAUCUCUUGUCUGUCAACAGGAGGUACUCUCCUUCCUCUACUAGUUUGUCUACCUUCCUCGCCGAUCAUGAAGCUGAAGAGUUCGGCAAAACUAAAGAAGGAACUCUGUGUCAUCGGAUUUAAAGGCUCAAGCAUUCCCUGUUGCAUAUCCAAUGCAUAAUUCCAUAGUUCUAUGCAUCGAUCAAAUUUUCCUGCAUCGGCAUAGACCGCUCCUCUGUAGCGAAUAUAGUAACUUGUAUCUGGAUGUGCCGGACCCAGAAUUCUUUCUCUAAUUACUAAUGCCUGCAUACGCAUUUCGUCUGGGUCUGCCAAUAGCUCAUCCAGUUGUUCUGGUUCGCAUAUUUCUUGGGCAAAAUCAUAGGCCGCUAUUAAGGGUAGAGGCGAUGGUUUUGAUAUUACAACGUCGCUUUGAUAUCUAAAGGAAAUUAAAGAAGUAAUUAAAUUUAAAUCGUAUAAAGUUUCAUGACGUUCGUCCAUUGUUAAUGGACAAAGGAAUAUGUAACUCGAUCGUUUUUCAAUUAUCUUGACUCUCUUUUAACAUCCAAUUAAUAUCUCAAUUAACUCACUUCAAUUUUUUCUUUUUCUUUUUUAUCGUAAUAUUAACUCUUUGCGAUUGUAAUAUUUUUUUGUACGUGCUUUUUCUUUUUUUCUGUUUGUUACUUUCUUUCUUUCUUUCUUUUUUUUUUUUUAUUUUUUAUAUAUAUAUAACAUGAAUACUCGUGGUCGGAAUUAUUUUUAUCAAACACGAAUCGAGAUACCCUGGAUUCAAUCAAUUAUUGCCGUAUAAAAUUAAUUUUAUCGAAAUAUCAUAUUUUCCAGAGAAAUUUACUUUCGAUGAAAUUCAUAUUCUCGGUUUAUCUACGUUUGUAAUUUUACAACCGACGGAUAUAAUAUUUCAUUGACCUCAAGGUUUUAUUUCAAUUGGAAUGGAAAAAUUGCUUCGUCCGAUCUGAAUUAUUUCGUUAUAGAUAACUAGGAAAGGUUAAAAAUGAUUUGUCUGAAAAAAUUUAUCCUUUGACCGCAAAGAAUUAAUACCUAACUGAAUCAUAACAUUUCUAAUGUAUUUAUUAACGAAUCUGAUCACUCAAUCUUUACUCUUUAUAACGCCAAAAAAAAAGAAAAAAAAAAAAAAAAAAGAAGAAUUGAUUUUACCUAUCGUCCAUGGCGCGUUUCCAAAAA